UACGGGGGGGGCAAGCGUUGUUCGGAAUUACUGGGCGUAAAGGGCUCGUAGGCGGCCAACUAAGUCAGACGUGAAAUCCCUCGGCUUAACCGGGGAACUGCGUCUGAUACUGGAUGGCUUGAGUGUGGGAGAGGGAUGCGGAAUUCCAGGUGUAGCGGUGAAAUGCGUAGAUAUCAGGAGGAAUACCGAUGGCGAAGGCAGGUCUCUGGGCUGACACUGACGCUCAUGCACGAAAGCGUGGGGAGCAAACAGG
RNAcentral lists this ribosomal RNA (253 nucleotides) under uncultured bacterium. RNAcentral's name for it is "partial 16S ribosomal RNA". It matches the Rfam family "Bacterial small subunit ribosomal RNA", at positions 524 to 776 of the family's 1533-position model. The record is from RNAcentral.